RNAcentral lists this ribosomal RNA (437 nucleotides) under uncultured bacterium. RNAcentral describes it as "partial 16S ribosomal RNA". It matches the Rfam family "Bacterial small subunit ribosomal RNA", at positions 29 to 507 of the family's 1533-position model. The record is from RNAcentral.
AGCGAACGCUGGCGGCAGGCUUAACACAUGCAAGUCGAGCGGGCAUCCUUGUGGUGUCAGCGGCAGACGGGUGAGUAACGCGUGGGAACGUGCCCUUCGGUUCGGAAUAACUCAGGGAAACUUGAGCUAAUACCGGAUACGUGCGAGAGCAGAAAGGUUUAUCUGCCGAAGGAUCGGCCCGCGUCUGAUUAGCUAGUUGGUGAGGUUAUGGCUCACCAAGGCGACGAUCAGUAGCUGGUCUGAGAGGAUGAUCAGCCACACUGGGACUGAGACACGGCCCAGACUCCUACGGAAGGCAGCAGUGGGGAAUAUUGGACAAUGGGGGCAACCCUGAUCCAGCCAUGCCGCGUGAGUGAUGACGGCCUUAGGGUUGUAAAGCUCUUUUCUCCGGGACGAUAAUGACGGUACCGGAGGAAUAAGCCCCGGCUAACUUCGUG